GCCUGGGUGGCUCAGUCGGUUGAGCAUCUGACUUCGGCUCAGGUCAUGAUCUCACAGCUCUGUGAGUUCGAGCCCCGCAUUGGGCU
This 86-nucleotide transfer RNA is filed under the name Felis catus (domestic cat). It matches the Rfam family "tRNA". From Rfam's summary of the family: Transfer RNA (tRNA) molecules are approximately 80 nucleotides in length. The record is from Rfam by way of RNAcentral. Lineage: Eukaryota; Metazoa; Chordata; Mammalia; Carnivora; Felidae.